GCGGGGCCGGUGACUCAUCCGGACCGCGCCCCUUGCUCCCCGGCCCCGCCCGGACGCGCUCUCACGUGCGCGCGCGCGGCGCGCUGCUAAUUUUAGCUCCGGCGGCUUCCCUGGGGUCCCGUGAGGUGAAGGCGGGUGGAGGGGACGAGGCAGUCAAGGGAGUGCGGCUCUCCUCGUCCCUCCUUGUCCCUUCCUGCCCCGCCGUAGGUCUUCCUCGAGGACCGGGCCGGGUAGCAUUCAGCCUAUCAUGUCCUCAAGUAAUCUGCCAUAGCAUUUAUUUCCUGCAACCAGGCUUCUAUUGGUCCUGUGCCCAGUGCUUUGCCAGCCUAAGGAGGGAUGAGGUCCCAGUUGUGUGUGAGUGGAGGAGCCUGCUCCUGCCUUUGUCUGAGUCUGAUCACCACAACAACUGCCAUAACCCAGAAAAGCUCACUGGUGAGUUGCUCUUUCCAAAAAGUGAUCACUAUGUGAAAUUUUAAAACUCCAAUGUAACAAAGCCAUGAGCAGCCUUUUGGAGGCUGCCGCAGCAGAAUCUAACCACACUGGGAUUCGAUGUUCUGCUUUCACAAAGGGACAGAAAGUUGCCAGGUUUUUGGGUACAAACUUCUGUGCCAUGACAAAGCACCGCUUUGACCAGUGUGCUGGGCCUGAUCUGAGACCACAACAACCAACCAGUUAGGACAAACCAAAAAUAGCUCCAUCUUCUAAAUCAAGACAGACGGAGGGUGACCACCCUGAGUCACCCAAGUUACACAUUUUAUUUUUGGAUAGCAUUACUGGGCACCAAAAGUGUUUCAUUUGCUGCUUCUCUCCAAUAAAAGUACAAAGAAAGGAACUAAGUCUUGUGGUUCUGUUUGAGUUACCA
Molecule: long non-coding RNA, 862 nt
Filed under: Saimiri boliviensis boliviensis (Bolivian squirrel monkey)
Lineage: Eukaryota; Metazoa; Chordata; Mammalia; Primates; Cebidae
Description: lncRNA (ENSSBOG00000036693.1)
Source: RNAcentral